UGUCCUUUCCAUAGCAUUACU
This 21-nucleotide non-coding RNA is filed under the name Caenorhabditis elegans. Lineage: Eukaryota; Metazoa; Nematoda; Chromadorea; Rhabditida; Rhabditidae. The record is from RNAcentral.